This 250-nucleotide ribosomal RNA is filed under the name uncultured bacterium. Its description in RNAcentral is "partial 16S ribosomal RNA". It matches the Rfam family "Bacterial small subunit ribosomal RNA", at positions 524 to 773 of the family's 1533-position model. The record is from RNAcentral.
CACGUAGGAUCCAAGCGUUAUCCGGAUUUACUGGGCGUAAAGCGCGUGUAGGUGGUUUGCUAAGUUGGGUGUUAAAUCUCUCGGCUCAACUGGGAGGUGUCGCUCAAAACUAGCAGACUGGAGGACGGUAGAGGAAGGCGGAAUUCCGGGUGUAGUGGUGAAAUGCGUAGAUAUCCGGAGGAACACCAGUGGCGAAGGCGGCCUUCUGGACCGCUCCUGACACUCAAACGCGAAAGCUAGGGGAGCAAAC